ACGACCAUACCUGCAAUAGAAUACGGGAUCCCGUCCGCUCUCCCAUAGUCAAGCCUGCAAGGGGCGGAUUAGUAGUUGGGUCGGUGACGACCAGCGAAUACCUGCUGUUGUAUGUU
RNAcentral lists this ribosomal RNA (116 nucleotides) under Fusarium proliferatum. The record is from RNAcentral. RNAcentral also lists the same sequence under 1 other name. Lineage: Eukaryota; Fungi; Ascomycota; Sordariomycetes; Hypocreales; Nectriaceae.